AUGUCCGGCCGCGGCAAGGGAGGGAAGGGGCUGGGCAAGGGCGGAGCCAAGCGCCACCGGAAGGUGCUGCGGGACAACAUCCAGGGCAUCACCAAGCCGGCGAUCCGGCGUCUCGCUCGGAGGGGCGGCGUGAAGCGCAUCUCGGGGCUCAUCUAUGAGGAGACCCGCGGCGUGCUCAAGAUCUUCCUCGAGAACGUCAUCCGCGACGCCGUCACCUACACCGAGCACGCCCGCCGCAAGACCGUCACCGCCAUGGACGUCGUCUACGCGCUCAAGCGACAGGGACGCACCCUCUACGGCUUCGGCGGCUAG
This 312-nucleotide ribosomal RNA is filed under the name Triticum aestivum (bread wheat). RNAcentral's name for it is "partial small subunit ribosomal RNA". The record is from RNAcentral. Lineage: Eukaryota; Viridiplantae; Streptophyta; Magnoliopsida; Poales; Poaceae.